GCAACCCUAGGUUGAUCCGAGAGUUCUGACCUCGCAGCGCCUGUCAAGCACCCAAGCUAACUGGCUAAAGUUGGCUAGCUUGCUAGCUACUUCUAGACACAAAUGAGAGAACACCUCACUCUGACCAUUUUACUCACCCUAGCAGAGGUGGUUAGGCUGUUUUCAUGGUGUCUAGAUUGCUGGUCACUAACUGUGCUGCUGGCAACAAUUUAAUUAAACAAUUUGGCCAACGUUUACUGACACCGGUCAUAUUCAACAGGUGUUGCGCGUUCGUAAAUUCAUCAGUUAUUCUGUGUUCCGGGAGUUCCAGGUGGGGGUGUACACACUGGAGGUCAACAUUGAUGAGCACAUGUAGGAGCCCAUCCGUGUGACGUCCAUCUACACCAGUGAAGGAGGUCUCCUAUAUAAGAAUUUGGCAGUAUGUCCAACCGGCCUCACAACCGCAGACCAUGUGUAACCACGCCAGCCCAGGACCUCCACAUCCGGCUUCUUCACCUGCAGGAUCACCUCAUACCAGCCACCCGGACAGCUUAUGCAACUGAGGAGUAUUUCUGUCUGUAAUUAAGCACUUUUGGGGGGAAAAACUGAUUCUGAUUGGCUGGGUCUGGCUUCCAAGUGGGUGGGCCUGGUUCCCAAGUGGGUGGGCCUAUGCUGCACCCCUGCCCUGUCAUGUGAAAUCCAUAGAUUUAUUUAAAUUGACUGAUUUCCUUAUUUGAACUGUAACUCGUAUUGUUGUUGCAACAAUUUAUAUUUUUGUUCAGUAUAAGAUACCUGUAGCUAGCUAGCUACCUAUUAGCCAUCAUAUUGCUAGCUUUCGUUUCAGCACCUUGCUUGACUGAUCUGUCUUAGCAACAGUAACUAUACGGCGGAGUUGUGGGAGAGAAUUUUUGUUACAUUUUUUAUUUAUUUUAUUAACAACAAAUCAAUACAGGAAGUACAUGUGGGAACACAAUUAUAUAUGAAUAAUAUACAAUGGACAAUUGGGCUAGGGGCGGGGCUGGGGGCGGGGCUAGGGGGACAUACAUACAGGACCUUAGGGGACAUACAUACACUUAUAAUUCUAACAACUUUUUUGUUAGUAGAGUAUUUAAUUGUCUCAAAAUACAGUUCAAUUUAUUUUUGUAAGGUAAGAAAAUGUGUUUUUUUGGUUUGUAAAUUUACAUUUGUGAAUAUGAAAUUUCGCCAAAAGAAUAAUGAAAUUAGUUACAUAAAAAUGUUUCAGCUUAUUUCUAUCGUAGGUAAAGAAUCCAAGCAAUACAUCUCUCCACAAUAGGGUAAGAUCUUCAUAAAUGUGUUCAAUUAUAAAUCUACUGAUGUCUUGUCACAGUUUUCUUACAUGAAUACAAUUCCAAAAAAGAUACAACACUGUUUCUGGGUGGUCAUUACAAAAGGAGCAAUUUGAGUUGAUGUUUUCCUUAAACUUCUACAUAUAGUGGUUGGCAGGAUAAUAUUUAUGAAUAAUUUUAAAGGAAAGUUACUUAAUUUUGUUAACAAGUAGGUAUGAGUGUGGCAACAUCCAAACUUUUUUCCAACAGAUAUUAGCAAUAAAUCCAUUUCAAUAAGGCAUGACAUAAGGUAUAGAGAUACAACAUCCUGCUGAAACAAGGUUCGUAUCGCUCUGUUGUUGAAUGGACCAAAAGAGAAACAAAUCUUUCCUACUGAUGAGUCAACAGGGUCAACGGAAGGUAGGCUCUGAGGGUCAGGUCUGGACACGUUCCUGAAUAAUAAAGCAACACCUGAGGGAAUGGCAUCUAAAACAACUGCAAAAUCUUUUGGUGUUACAGGGACCUUGUAAAGUGAUAAGAAUUCCUUAUAACUGAGUAAAAGACCCUCUGCAUUUACCAGUUAGCUCACCAAUAGGAUAUUAUUUCGGCACCAAUUUUCUAAAAACAAAUAAGUAUUUUUAUACAAUAUAUCCUGAUUAUUCCAUAUAUAAUAUCUGUGUGGAGAAAAAUUAUGCUUAUAAAUUAAGGACCAUGACAAGAAAACCUGUCGAUGAAAAGCAGAAAGUUUCUGGAACUUUGUCAAUAUUAUAAUUGCAAACCAACAUGAAGUUAAGGCCACCAAAAGUAGAGAAGACAUGAGGAAUAAAAUUCCACAUAGAAGUGGGUCUUCUUAGGAACUGUUUUAUCCAAUUGAUCUUAAAAGCAUUAUUUAAGGUAGUAAAGUUCAGAAAAUUCAUCCCAUCAUUCUCGUAAGUGUUCAUUACAACAGUUUUCCUAAUGUAAUGGGUACAGUUUCUCCACAGAAAGUUGAAAAGCAUCUUGUCUAUCUCCUUGCUUAUUUUACUGUCAAGAUAUAAAGAUAGAGCGCCAUAUGUUAGUCUAGAGACACCUUCAGCCUUGGUUAUUAGGACUCUUCCUUUUAAAGAUAAGUCCCUCUGUAGCCAUUGAUUUAGCUUCUUCUGGAUUUUUCUGGAUUUUUUAAUAAAAGGGUUAAAAUUUAGUAAGCCUCUAGACUUCUGAUCCUUUGUAAUGGUUAUGCCUAAAUAUGUAAGUUCUUCUUUUACUGGAAUAGCAUAAUAUGAAGAUGUCACACAAUCUUUGACAGCCAUGAGUUCACAUUUAUUAAUGUUAAGAAAUAGACAAGACACUUUGGAAAAGGAUUGUAUCACAUUGAUCGAUAUGGGAAUUUGGUUAGCAUCUUCCAGAAAAAGUGCAGUAUCGUCAGCCAGCUGGCUUAUAAUAAUUUCUUUACCAGCUAUGGAAAUACCUUGUAUAGGACUAUUAUUUAAAGAAUUUGUAAGAAGUUGGGUGAUUAAUAAAAACAGGUAUGGAGAGAUAGGACAACCUUGCCUAAUUCAUCUCUUUAACUCAAAUCUAGGUGAGGUGCCAUAUUUCCAUUUGAUAGAGCUGUUACUAUUUGUAUAGAGAGUCUUAAUAGCCUUACAGAAAAAAUCCCCAAAGCCAAGUGUCUCAAGGGAGUGGAAGAGGAACUGAUGCUCUGCUGUGUCAAAUGCUUUAUAAAAAUCUAAAAAUAAUGUGAAGCUGUCCUUGGUUAUUAGGUCUGAGUAGUCAAGUAUGUAUAAUACUAGUCUGACAUUGUUAGAAAUAUGUCUGUUCCUCAUAAAGCCAGACUAUGUUUCAUCAAUGAUUGCAUCCAGGACUUCUUUAAUUCUUUUUUGCAAGUAGUAAGGCUAAUAUCUUAUAGUCAUUAUUAAGAAGACAAAUUGGAUGCCAGUCAUCGAUGAGCAGCACUUCUUUUUUAGGCUUAGGUAUCAGUGUCAUUAACCCCGACUCAUUGUAGGAGGGAGAACAUUGUUUUUUAUACUCUCUAAAAAGACUUCAAGUAGGAAGGGAGCUACUUGUUCAGAAAAUAAUUUGUAAAAUUCUGAUGUAAUUCCAUCAACACCUGGUGAUUUAUUGUCCUGUAGAUGCUUGACAGACUCUAUAAUCGCUUCAACUUUGAUGGGUUCAUCACACUGUUUAGAUUCUUUAUCACUGAUAGAGUGAACAUUAUUCAGUGAGUCAAAAAACAUAUCUGUGGAUUCCUGACAGUACGUAGAGCUAUACAAUUUUCUGUAACAAUGUUUAACUUAUGGAUAGUGUUAUUUUUAGGUAAAAUUUCUCAAGUCUAAAGAAAUUGGAUGAAUUCUGUUCUCCCUCCUCAAUCCAUUUUUUCCUAGAUCUAAUAAAGGCCCCUUCUGCUUUUAAUCUAUUUAUAUUAUCCAGUUUAUUUUGUAACUCAAUUAGUUCCAUCUUCUCUUCCACUGAGAGGCUGGCUGGGGACCUAUGAGAAAGGGAAGUUAUCUUAAUGAUCACCUUUUCCUCCUCAGCUCUUCUGGUCUUAGCUAGAUUACUACCAUAUUUUGUAAGGUAUUUGGACACCUCAAAUUUAAAGAGCUCACAGUUCUUGCAAUACGAUUUUUCUUCACAAACCCUUUCCCAAAAGUGUGAAAGCAGAUCUUUAACCUCAAACUUAACUAUAUCAUUAUUUAAUAAUGAGCUAUUUAGCUUCCAGUAGGAUGCUCUACCAAGGUUAGUAUAAGGGGUAAAUAUUUUGAUAUCAAUGUAAAUGGCCCUAUGGUCUGUGAGGGGAGUAGUACAAAUAUUUGUAGUAACACACUCACUAUCAAUACAGUUGGAUAUAAGCCAAAAAUCUAUUCUGGAUUGUCUGGAACCUGUUUCGUUACUCCAAGUGAACGAUCUGUUGGCCGGAAACCUCUCUCUCCAUAUAUCAGUAAGAUCAAACUUUUCCAUAAAAAGUAUUAAACCCAAAUUCUGAUUGGUUGGCCUACCUGGGGGGCAUCUAUCAGUUUAAUUAUCUAUAGUAUUGUUAAAGUCCCCUCCUAUCAAUAAUAAUUAAUUUGGAAAUUUAGAUAACCAAUGAAGUAUAUGUUUCUCUAUAGAUUCAAGCAACUCAUCAUUCUCAUGUUUGGUGUUGUACAUGUAGAAGUUUACAGUAAUGAGCAUAAUGUCAUUGUAACUCAUCACAAGACAAAUAAAGCGACCAAAGGGUCACAUUCCGAGUGUAGAAUAUUACCACCAAAGGUAUUUUCAUUGUAGUGACACCAGCGGAGCGUUCAGAUCCAUGGGAAAGCCAAAUAUCGUUGCCCCACUGUGACCUCCAGAAGUUGGCAUCAGCCGAAAUUGAGUGAGACUCUUGAAAAAAGCAAAAAUCUGUUCGAAAUUGUUCAGCAAAUAAAAAUAAGGCCUUGCGCUUCACAUUGUUUCGUAAUCCCCUAGCAUUAAGAGAAACUAUAGACAAAGACAAAACAAAAAAGCUUAUAUAAAAGUAUAAACUGUAGUAGGAUGAGUCAGAAACGUAGGAGCAGUGAACGUAAGUGAUAAGGAACCGAGAUCUGCACCAUUUAAGUCAAUUUAAAGUGAAAAUAGCUUAUUCCAUAAACUUUGAGCUAGAUCUUUUGAAAUUCAACUCAACUGAAAAUUAUGUUCAAGACCCAACCAAGGGUUCUUGUAGUAAGAGAGACUAAAAACCCUCUUUAGUGUAAUCAGGAACUAUUCUGAGAAAUAAAAUACAAAAUAAUAAUUUAAAUAAAAGGGUACCUACUAUUUUAAGUGCAUAUGAAAACUGAUCACAAAAAAAUUGAAUAAAAAAUGUUUUACGUAUACAUGUUCCUAAGACCUUUUUCACUUGGAAAUAAGUAUUAAUAACUAAAUCGAACAAUAACCGUGUAAAGUCAGAGCAGACCUGUAUGUCCUUUAAAACAGUAUCUUAGUUACUGUAUACAUAAAAAAUAAAUACAGCUUUCAGUCUUCUUCAUAACUUUGUAAACAAAAUAGGCCUUCUAGUCAUACAAGAACAAACUAAUAAAUUGAAGUACCUGAGUAUUCCAAAAAAUAGUCACCUGAUGCUUGUUAGGUAAAGUUAAACAAUACAAGGAAAAUGAGAAUACCAUGGCCGAAACCAUCAAUCUGUUCUUUCUGGUGAGAUUUUAGGGAGGAAUAUGGAUUUCUGAACCGUUGAUGAAGCCUCGUCCUCCGACAAAGUAAGCAGCCUUUCACUCAUUUCGUGCUUUCUUGAUCGUUGGCCACAACUUGUUCCUUCUUUCUAUGUCCUCCGGGCUGAGAUGCUCGACGAAACACAUACCAUGGCUCUGAAGGAAGGCGUUCUUCCUAGCAGCUUUCCAGACAGCAUCCCUGUAGAAUCUGGCAGUAAAGAGGAUGAUGAUACCCUUGGUCUUGAAUCAUUUUGCUGUUGCUUCUUGCCGAGGCGAUGCACAACGUCAAUGGUAUCACCAACUUUGUUCUUCUCUGCAGGCAUAACUUCUUGGCAGAUGCGGAUAGCCUCUCCACGCACAUCUUCAUUCUCCACCUCUGGCACGCCGUAGAGUCUCAGGUUCCAUCUUCUUGUGUAUUGUUUCAGAUCAGUGAGACGUCUAUGGUAGACAUUGUUUUUCUUUUCCACACUUUUUUCAACUUUUGCCACUCUCAUUUUCACAUCCUUGAUAUCACCACAUGCAAACUCCAGUCUUUUUCAAACUUUCGAUAACCAUGGUGUUUGCGCCUACCAUUUUCUCAAUGGCGUCAGACCUGGAGUUGAUGAGUUGGCAUCAUGUCUCAGAAGCAGAUAUAUUACUCUGACAAAUACGAUGACGAGAAAUUCGAGUAUAGGCACGUGAUGCUGCCCAAGGACAUUGCCAAGCGUGUGCCCAAGACCCAUCUGAUGUCAGAGACUGAGUGGAGGAACCUUGGCGUCCAGCAGAGUCAAGGCUGGAUACACUACAUGAUCCAUCAACCAGAGCCCCACAUCUUGCUGUUCCGUCGUCCACUGCCUGCAGCCUGAUCUCUCGGACAGAGGGUGAGAGAGAACCCAUAGGGAAGAUGAUAAGAGAGUGGCUGGAGAUGGUUGAACACAACUCAGUUGGAUGGAUAAAGACUAUUUUGUAAAUACUGCAUCGUAUACACUGCAGUUGAGCCAGAGUCGAGCUCCAACCCACUGCCUCACUCACUGUAAAGCCUUUCAUAUUUCCUCUGGACCUGCUUGGAACCCUUUCAUAUUUUUCUCUAUAUGUACUAGCUUGAUAAUGUUGUCAAUGUGUGCAUCUGGGAAGAAAAGGAACAUCUGUGGAGGUAGCAACACAUUUUCAUUAUUCUAAACUUUAACCCACUAUACCUGCUGUGAGUUGACUAACAUAUCUAAUUUUAAGGCAGAUAGUAAGAUGGUAAAUGUUAAAAUGUAGGGGGCAGCAUUUUGGCAGCACAAAUGUGCAGGGAUGUUACCGAAAUUACUGAUCAUAUACCUGUUAUGGCACUUGAUUCAAAACUUAUUUUGAAUACCGCAGAUUGCAUCAAGUGUAUGCACUCUUACACUGUACAAAUGAUAGCCCUCUGGAUAUUGUAAAAAAAAUAUAAUUUUUUAUUUUUUUUUUUAAUUUUUUACAAAUCGUGUCGUGCUGCAGUUAUACUGUAGACUGUCUGCAGGUUUUAGAGCUGUCAAAAUGGGACCCAAUAUCUUCGUUGCCAUAUCUAUGAUUGUACAAAUCAGCUGCUCAGUUUAUGAAUUCUUGUACACCAGAAAUGUUUUUAUUUGAAAUUCUUCAGAUUGUGAUGUAGUUCUGCACUUUUAAACCUUUACAUUUUGCCGUUUUGCUUAUAGUGGUGUUAAAAGUGGGUUUGUAGAUGGAUAGAUUACAUGUCAAAAGUUUGUACACCUAUUCAUUCAAGGGUUUUGAUUUAUUUGAACUAUUUUAUACAUUGUAGAAUAAUAGUGAAGACAACUAUGGAAUCAUGUAGUGCUCAAAGUGUUAAACAAAUCAAAAUAUAUUUUAGAUUCUUCAAAGUAGCCACCCUUUGCCUGGACAGCUUUGCACACUCUUGGCAUUCUUUCAACCAGCUUCACCUGGAAUGCUUUUCCAACAGUCUUGGAGGAGUUACCACAUAUGCUGAGCACUUGUUGGCUGCUUUUCCUCCACUCUGCGGUCCAACUCAUCCCAAACCAUCUCAAUUGGGUUGAGGUCGAGUGAUUGUGGAGGCCAGGUCAUCUGAUGCAGCACUCCAUCACUCCUUUUUGUUCAGAUAGCCCUUACACAGCUUGGAGGUGUGUUAGGUCAUUGUCCUGUUGAAAAACAAAUGAUAAUACCACUAAGCGGAAACCAGAUGGGAUGGCAUAUCACUGCAGAAUGGUGUGGUAGCCAUGCUGGUUAGGUGUGCCUUGAAUUCUAAAGAAAUCACUGACUGUCACCAGCAAAGCACCAUCACACCACCUCCAUGCUUCACAGUGGGAACCACACAUGCGGAGAUCUGUUCACCUACUCUGCGUCUCACAAAGACACUGCGGUUGGAACCAAAAAUCUCCAAUUUGGACUCAUCAGACCAAAGGACAGAUUUCCACUGGUCUAAUGUCCAUUGCUUGUGUUUCUUAGCCCAAGCAAGUCUCUUCUUCCUAUUGGUGUCUUUUUAGUAGUUGUUUCUUUGCAGCCAUGAAGGCCUGAUUCACGCAGUCUCCUCUGAACAGUUGAUUUUGAGAUGUCUAUUUCUUGAACACCAUAAAGCAUUUAUUUGGGCUGCAAUUUCUGAGGUUGGUAACUCUAAUGAACUUAUCCUCUGCACAGAGGUAACUCUGGGUCUUCCUUUCCUGUGGCGGUCCUCUUGGGAGUCAGUUUCAUCAUAGUACUUGAUGGUUCUUGGGAUGGCACUUGAAGAAACUGACAAGUUCUUAAUUUUCCGAAUUGAUUUACCUUCAUGUCUUAAAGUAAUGAUGGAUUGUCAUUUUCUGUUUGCUUAUUUUAGCUGUCUUGCCAUAAUAUGGACUUGGUCUUUUGUCAAAUAGGGCUAUCUUCUGUAUACCACCCCUUGUCACAACACAACUGAUUGGCUCAAACACAUUAAGGAAAUGAACUUUUAUCAAGGAACACCAGUUAAUUGAAAUGAAUUCCAGGUGACUACCUCAGGAAGCUGGUUGAGAGAAUGCCAAGAAUGUGCAAAGCUGUCAAGGCAAAGGAUGGCUACUUUGAAGAAUCUCAUAUUUUGAUUUGUUUAACACUUUUUGAUUACUGGUAUGUUAUUUCAUAGUAUUGAUUUCUUCACUAUUAGUCUACAAUGUAAAAAAUAAAAACCCUUGAAAGAGGUGUGUCCAAACUUUUGACUGUUACUGUGUACAGUAUGUACAGUGCCAUUUCGGAAAGUGUUCAGACUCCUUAACUUUUUCUACAUUUUUAUUUAAUCAAUCUAUACACAACACCCCAUAAUGUCGAAGCCAAAACAGUUUCUUAGAACUGUUUGCUAAUUUAUAAAAAAUAAAAAAUUUAAAUACCGUAUUCACACAAGUAUUCAGACCCUUUUCUAUGAGACAUGAAAUUGAGCUCCUGUGCAUCCUGUUUCCAUUGAUCAUCCUUUUGAUGUUUCUACAACUUGAUUGGAGUCCAUCUGUGGUAAAUUCAAUUGAUUGGACAUGAUUUGGAAAGGCACAAAACUGUCUAUAUGAGGUCCCAUCAUUGACAGUGCAUGUCAGAGCAAAAACCAAGCCGUGAGGUUGACAGAAUUGUCCUUAGAGCUCCGAGACAGGAUUGUUUCAAGGCACAGAUCUGGGGGAAGGGUACCAAAAAAUGUCUGCGGCAUUGAUGGUCCCUAAGAACACAGUGGCCUCCAUCAUUCUUAAAUGGAAUAGGUUUGGAACCACCAAACUCUUCCUGGAGCUGGCCGCCCGGCCAAACUGAGCAAUCGGGGAAGAAGGGCCUUGGUCAGGGAGGUGACCAGGAACCCGAUGGUCACUCUGACCGAGCUCUAGAGUUCCUCUGUGGAGAUGGGAGAACCUUCCAGAAGGACAACCAUCUCUGAAGCACUCCACCAAUCAGGCCUUUAUGGUAGAGUGGCCAGACAGAAGCCACUCCUCAGUAAAAGGCACAUGACACCCCGCUUGGAGUUUCCCAAAAGGCACCUAAUGAUUCUGACCAUAAGAAUCAAGAUUCUCUGGUCUGAUGAAACCAAGAUUGAAGUCUUUGGCGUGAAUGCCAAGUGUCACGUCUGGAGGAAACGUGGCACUAUCUGUACAGUGGAGCAUGGUGACAGCGGACACCCUAGUUUAACUCCUCUUGACAAUUCAAAACUCUGAUAAGUAGCCGUUAUUUACUAUUUUACACCUGGGGUUGCUAUACAUUAUUUUUACCCAUUUUAUAAGAGAAUUACUGAAAUUGAAAAAAUCCAGGCAUUUAUAAAUAAAAUCCAGUCUUUAUCAAAUGCCUUUUCAAAAUCUGCUAUAAAUACCAUUCCUGGCUUCUUAUAUGUUUCAUGAUUUUCUAUUAGUUGUCGUAUAUUAUCUCCAAUGUAUCGUCCAUGUAAAAAACCUGUCUGAUCAGGAUGAACAAUACCUGGUAAAACCCUUUUAAUUCUGAGAGCUAUGCAUUUUGCUAGUAUUUUUGCAUCCAACAUUGAAGUGUAAGGGGCCUCCAGUUUUUUAGAUAGACUGCGUCUUUAUAUUUGCCAUCUGAGUCUUGUUUUAAUAAUAGGGAAAUCAGACCUUCCUGCCGAGUACCUGACAUACUACCAUUUCUAUAGCAGUAGUUAAAACAAUCUAACAAUGGAGCUUUUAGUAUAUCAAAAAAUACUUGAUAUACCUCUGGUAUGCCAUCAAGCCCUGGGGUUUUUCCAGACUGAAAGGAUUUAAUAGCCUCAAAAAGUUCUUCCACUGUGAUUUGGCCUUCGCACUGAUCUUUCUGUACAUUUGUUAAUUUUCAAUUUUUUUAAUAUUAUUUGGAAAGAAUUCCUUACCAUAAUCUUCAUACAGUGGGAAAGGAUAAGACGGAAAAAAAGAACAUCUGCCUAAAAUAAUUAGCUUCCUCUUUUAAAAUAUCAUUCAGAGAAUCAUAGAUGACUCCGUCUUCAGUAACGAGUUUCUGCAAAUGAUUUUUGUUAGCGUUCCUGUAUUGGUGAUUCAGGAAGAACUUUGUGCAUUUUUUUCCAUAUUCCAUCCAGGUUGCUUUAUUUUUGUAAUAGAUUACAUUAGAUCGUUCUUGAAUAAGUUUCUCAAGUUUUUUUGGUUUUUCUUCUUACUUAUACUUACUCUGUAGUAUCAUUUUUAUUGCUAUCUACCUGUACUAUUAGUUGAUGGAUAUCCCUUGUUAGUCUUGUCUCUUUAGCCAGAAACUGCUUUUUUAUUAUUGAUGAAUAUUGAAUUGAAUGACCCCUG
Molecule: long non-coding RNA, 10587 nt
Filed under: Salmo salar (Atlantic salmon)
Lineage: Eukaryota; Metazoa; Chordata; Actinopteri; Salmoniformes; Salmonidae
Description: lncRNA (ENSSSAG00000098576.1, ENSSSAG00000113038.1)
Source: RNAcentral